AAUAUUUUUGGCUAUUUUAGUGUUGGCUAAAAUUGGGCUGUAAAUGUGCCUCUGUAACUGGGACUGAGACUGGCUGGUAUGAAAAGCCAUGGAAAGACAAGAAACACGCAUGCAGGUGCACAUGUGUUUUUGUAGGUGGAAAAUGGAGAAUGACCAACAUACAGGGUUGCUGCCUCCUACCACUGGAGGGUGACCACCCUGAAUGGAUCACCACCUCAUCACAGGCCCCCUUGUGGUAUACUGUGCACCUGAUGCCAGGAAAACAUUCCUUCCUGUCCAACACUUCCCAUGUGUGCUGAACCCAGAGCAAGUCCAGCUGAGUGACAACAUGGUAAUCAGAAUGGGUCUGAUGAUGUCAUCUCCACUCCAGAUGAUCCUGAAACAAGGAUUGGAUGCCAGACUGAUCUGACUCUGAUUUGUUAGUCAUUUAAU
Long non-coding RNA from Brienomyrus brachyistius, 432 nucleotides. RefSeq lists it as uncharacterized. Lineage: Eukaryota; Metazoa; Chordata; Actinopteri; Osteoglossiformes; Mormyridae. The record is from RefSeq and is a predicted model, not a curated record. The transcript is spliced from 3 exons.